RNAcentral lists this ribosomal RNA (505 nucleotides) under uncultured bacterium. RNAcentral's name for it is "partial 16S ribosomal RNA". It matches the Rfam family "Bacterial small subunit ribosomal RNA", at positions 28 to 507 of the family's 1533-position model. The record is from RNAcentral.
GACGAACGCUGGCGGCGUGCCUAAUACAUGCCAGUAGAACGCACAGUUUAUACCGUAGCUUGCUACACCAUAGACUGUGAGUUGCGAACGGGUGAGUAACGCGUAGGUAACCUGCCUGGUAGCGGGGGAUAACUAUUGGAAACGAUAGCUAAUACCGCAUAAUAUUGAUUAUUGCAUGAUAAUUGAUUGAAAGAUGCUAUUGCAUCACUACCAGAUGGACCUGCGUUGUAUUAGCUAGUAGGUGAGGUAACGGCUCACCUAGGCGACGAUACAUAGCCGACCUGAGAGGGUGCUCGGCCACACUGGGACUGAGACACGGCCCAGACUCCUACGGGAGGCAGCAGUAGGGAAUCUUCGGCAAUGGACGAAAGUCUGACCGAGCAACGCCGCGUGAGUGAAGAAGGUUUUCGGAUCGUAAAGCUCUGUUGUAAGAGAAGAACGGGUGUGAGAGUGGAAAGUUCACACUGUGACGGUAUCUUACCAGAAAGGGACGGCUAACUACGUG